This 183-nucleotide ribosomal RNA is filed under the name Triticum aestivum (bread wheat). RNAcentral's name for it is "partial small subunit ribosomal RNA". Lineage: Eukaryota; Viridiplantae; Streptophyta; Magnoliopsida; Poales; Poaceae. The record is from RNAcentral.
AUGGUGCGGCAGCUGCCGGCGUGCAAGCACCUCUUCCAUGUCGAGUGCAUAGACAAGUGGCUGCACUCGCACACGACUUGCCCUGUUUGCAGGUGCGACCUCUCGCCACCGCGGACGGUUACUGCCAAAGUGGCGGCUGUAGAGAUGGAACCGCCGGCAGAUGAUGCUUUGCCGCCAGUGUAG